RNAcentral lists this ribosomal RNA (177 nucleotides) under Serratella ignita. Its description in RNAcentral is "partial 28S ribosomal RNA". The record is from RNAcentral. Lineage: Eukaryota; Metazoa; Arthropoda; Insecta; Ephemeroptera; Ephemerellidae.
CGCUCGCUCUGGUGCCGGUCGGAAUUUAUACUUGCGCACGAGCGACGGAGCGCACUUCUCUCCGAGUAGGACGCCGCGACCCGUUGACGUUAAGCGCAGGUCUACGGCCCGGGUGCGAAGUCCGCAGUUUUGAACGGUUUCGGCCGUUUUUUUCCGCGGAGCCCUGGUGUCCCGAUU